Molecule: ribosomal RNA, 492 nt
Filed under: uncultured bacterium
Lineage: Bacteria
Description: partial 16S ribosomal RNA
Rfam family: Bacterial small subunit ribosomal RNA
Source: RNAcentral
AGUGAACGCUGGCGGUAGGCCUAACACAUGCAAGUCGAACGGCAGCACAGUAAGAGCUUGCUCUUACGGGUGGCGAGUGGCGGACGGGUGAGGAAUACAUCGGAAUCUACUUUUUCGUGGGGGAUAACGUAGGGAAACUUACGCUAAUACCGCAUACGACCUACGGGUGAAAGCAGGGGAUCUUCGGACCUUGCGCGAUUGAAUGAGCCGAUGUCGGAUUAGCUAGUUGGCGGGGUAAAGGCUCACCAAGGCGACGAUCCGUAGCUGGUCUGAGAGGAUGAUCAGCCACACUGGAACUGAGACACGGUCCAGACUCCUACGGGAGGCAGCAGUGGGGAAUAUUGGACAAUGGGCGCAAGCCUGAUCCAGCCAUACCGCGUGGGUGAAGAAGGUCUUCGGGUUGUAAAGCCCUUUUGUUGGGAAAGAAAAGCAGCAGGUUAAUACCCCGCUGUUCUGACGGUACCCAAAGAAUAAGCACCGGCUAACUUCGUG